This 281-nucleotide long non-coding RNA is filed under the name Gossypium raimondii (Peruvian cotton). RNAcentral's name for it is "long non-coding RNA (GRAI_LNC008304)". The record is from RNAcentral. Lineage: Eukaryota; Viridiplantae; Streptophyta; Magnoliopsida; Malvales; Malvaceae.
UUUGUUUAUGUUUAUUUCUAUUUUUAGUUGUUUUGUUUUAUUUUUAUUUCCUUUUACUUCUUUUAAUUACUAUCUUUUGAACUAUAUUUUUUUGGUUGUUUCUAAUCGAGUUAUAACCCCUUAAUCUUCUUUCUUAUUUGUGUUCAUUUUCUUAUUAGUUUACUCGGAAUCAUGCACUAUAUUUAGAUUUGCCUACAUUUCACUUUUCACCAUUUUUGAAAAUUUAUCUAAUAUUCAGGGCGAUUUUAGUUUUCUCCCUCUCUUAUGAUAUUCUAUUUAUA